AAAAAGGCAAACCUUGGGUUUCUGUGUCUAACUUUGAUUGUCCGUCUUAUAUAAAAUUUUUUUAUAAUUCGUAUUUUCAUUGUUAUUAGAUGAUAAAGCAUAAUUAAUAUUUUAUGUGUGGCUUGUCUUUUUUAUUGUUUUUAUAAUUUUUUUUAAUAAGGCGGACGGUCAAACAUUGUACACGAAAAUUAGGGUUUGUCUUUUU
Oryza sativa Indica Group (long-grained rice) is the source of this 205-nucleotide microRNA precursor. It matches the Rfam family "MIR812 microRNA precursor family". The record is from Rfam. Lineage: Eukaryota; Viridiplantae; Streptophyta; Magnoliopsida; Poales; Poaceae.